Podarcis lilfordi (Lilford's wall lizard) is the source of this 117-nucleotide non-coding RNA. The record is from the annotation of a GenBank genome assembly. NCBI's taxonomy places the organism in Eukaryota, Metazoa, Chordata, Lepidosauria, Squamata, Lacertidae.
GCGCAUGCGCAAGCAUUAUUUCUGGUGCACAUCCGGGUUAGAGGAGGCCCCUAGCACAAGCUAUUUCCGGUGCUCCUCCAACCCAGAAGCGCACCGGAAAUAGUGUGUGCGCAUGCG